RNAcentral lists this small RNA (789 nucleotides) under Pongo abelii (Sumatran orangutan). RNAcentral describes it as "processed transcript". Lineage: Eukaryota; Metazoa; Chordata; Mammalia; Primates; Hominidae. The record is from RNAcentral.
CAGGAAACUUCCCACCUGGCGCUGCCCCCAACCAAAGUCAUGAGGGCAAGGCUCCGGUUCCUGCCCUCACAGGGUCCCAGAAGCAAGGGCAGUGAGGACCUGUCCGUCUCUGGCACGGGGUGUCUGAUUCUCCUUCGCUGUGGCGGGAAGCUGGCCGGAUUUGAAGGCCUCCACUGCUCACUGCUGUGCCUUGAUCAGCCUGGACAAGCCCGCCUACACCUCCAUCAUGCCCAGUGUGAAGAGGGGCCAGGGACCCACCACUCCUGAGAACAGCAUCCUUGGGAAGACCCAGCUAGGCAGAAGAGGCCUGGACCUUGGUGCACACAGACCCAGGAACAGAUGAGCAGGGACGUUUGCAUCCACACCUGGCCGUGCACCUACUACCUGGAGCCCAAGAGGCGAUGGGUUACUGGACAACUGUCCUUAACGUCGCUGUCGCUCAGGUUCAUGACUGACAGCACUGGAGAGAUUCUGGUCAGCUUCCCCCUCUCCAGCAUAGUUGAGAUCAAGAAGGAGUCUUCACAUUUUAUCUUCAGCUCCAUCACUAUCCUGGAGAAGGGCCAUGCCAAGCACUGGUUCAGCUCCCUGCGGCCAAGUCGAAAUGUGGUCUUCAGCAUCAUCGAGCAUUUCUGGAGGGAGCUGCUGCUGUCUCAGCCUGGAGCCAUGGCAGACACGUCUGUCCCAAGGACCCGGGGCGAGGAGCUGACGGGACUCAUGGCUGGAUCCCAGAAACGCCUGGAGGACACAGCAAGGGUCCUGCACCACCAGGGCCAGCAGCUGGACAGCGUC